Molecule: ribosomal RNA, 460 nt
Filed under: uncultured bacterium
Lineage: Bacteria
Description: partial 16S ribosomal RNA
Rfam family: Bacterial small subunit ribosomal RNA
Source: RNAcentral
CCUACGGGUGGCAGCAGUGAGGAAUAUUGGUCAAUGGGCGGAAGCCUGAACCAGCCAAGUCGCGUGAGGGAGUAAGGCCCUACGGGUCGUAAACCUCUUUUGCCGGGGAGCAGUGCCCAGCUCGUGCGCUGGGAGGGAGCGUACCCGGAGCAAAAGCAUCGGCUAACUCCGUGCCAGCAGCCGCGGUAAUACGGGGGAUGCGCGCGUUCUCCGGAUUGAUGGGGUUUAAAGGGUGCGUAGGCGGGCCUUCAGGCCGGCGGUAAAAUUGCGGGGCGCACCCCCGCCGAGCCGUCGGAACCGGGGGCCUUGAGUACCGGAGAAGUACGCGGAAUGCGUGGUGUAGCGGUGAAAUGCAUAGAUAUCACGCAGAACCCCGAUUGCGAAGGCAGCGUACCGGCCGGUCACUGACGCUGAGGCACGAAAGCGCGGGUAUCGAACAGGAUUAGAUACCCUAGUAGUC